This 497-nucleotide ribosomal RNA is filed under the name uncultured bacterium. RNAcentral describes it as "partial 16S ribosomal RNA". It matches the Rfam family "Bacterial small subunit ribosomal RNA", at positions 28 to 507 of the family's 1533-position model. The record is from RNAcentral.
GAUGAACGCUGGCGGCGUGCCUAAUACAUGCAAGUCGAGCGAACAGGCGAGGAGCUUGCUCCUCUGACGUUAGCGGCGGACGGGUGAGUAACACGUGGAUAACCUACCUAUAAGACUGGGAUAACUUCGGGAAACCGGAGCUAAUACCGGAUAAUAUAUUGAACCGCAUGGUUCAAUAGUGAAAGACGGUUUUGCUGUCACUUAUAGAUGGAUCCGCGCCGCAUUAGCUAGUUGGUAAGGUAACGGCUUACCAAGGCAACGAUGCGUAGCCGACCUGAGAGGGUGAUCGGCCACACUGGAACUGAGACACGGUCCAGACUCCUACGGGAGGCAGCAGUAGGGAAUCUUCCGCAGUGGGCGAAAGCCUGACGGAGCAACGCCGCGUGAGUGAUGAAGGUCUUCGGAUCGUAAAACUCUGUUAUUAGGGAAGAACAAAUGUGUAAGUAACUAUGCACGUCUUGACGGUACCUAAUCAGAAAGCCACGGCUAACUACGUG